GUGGGGAAUUUUGGACAAUGGGCGCAAGCCUGAUCCAGCAAUGCCGCGUGUGUGAAGAAGGCCUUCGGGUUGUAAAGCACUUUUGGCAGGAAAGAAAUAGUGCGUGCUAAUACCAUGCGCGAAUGACGGUACCUGCAGAAUAAGCACCGGCUAACUACGUGCCAGCAGCCGCGGUAAGACGUAGGGUGCAAGCGUUAAUCGGAAUUACUGGGCGUAAAGCGUGCGCAGGCGGUUUUGUAAGACAGGUGUGAAAGCCCCGGGCUCAACCUGGGAACUGCACUUGUGACUGCAAGGCUAGAGUGUGUCAGAGGGAGGUGGUAUUCCGCGUGUAGCAGUGAAAUGCGUAGAGAUGCGGAGGAACACCGAUGGCGAAGGCAGCCUCCUGGGAUAACACUGACGCUCAGGCACGAAAGCGUGGGGAGCAAACAGGAUUAGAAACCCUAGUAGUCC
This 450-nucleotide ribosomal RNA is filed under the name uncultured bacterium. Its description in RNAcentral is "partial 16S ribosomal RNA". It matches the Rfam family "Bacterial small subunit ribosomal RNA", at positions 354 to 796 of the family's 1533-position model. The record is from RNAcentral.